GUCUUAACUGAGUCCUGAUGGGUUUAAGAAACCUCAGCCAGGUUCUGGAAAUGGCCUCUAGACCUGCCGCCUUCGGGGGUGGCCAGCACGGCCUCAACCCCAAAGCCAGGAUUCUCGCCUUACUGCAGUGAAGGACAGUCUCCACCGUCUGUUUUUGGAUUAUCAGCCAUCAGCCACUGCAAAGAAAGGAAAAAGAAAAAUAAGCGCUCCAACCUGCACAAGCAACUAUUUCUCCUCGACUCCUGCUCACCAUCUCCCCCACCCCCUUUUACUUCUCUGCUGGACCAUUUUUUGCAUCUGUGGCUGCCCAACUUGGGAGAUGGCUGGGCUGGGGGAGCCCAAGGGCACCUUGGAGAAGGAGCAGGACCAGGAAGACCCCCGGGACAGUGGGGAUUCCACAGCUGGGUGGUUCUAAGCCACCGGGUGCAUGAAAGGCCACAGGAUGCUGGUCCUGCUGCUACAUGGUGAGUUCCAAGCCUGGUCCUUCUGACCCCCAGCAGACAGCUGCCAG
RNAcentral lists this long non-coding RNA (511 nucleotides) under Canis lupus dingo (dingo). RNAcentral's name for it is "lncRNA (ENSCAFG00020027224.1)". The record is from RNAcentral. Lineage: Eukaryota; Metazoa; Chordata; Mammalia; Carnivora; Canidae.